This 442-nucleotide ribosomal RNA is filed under the name uncultured bacterium. Its description in RNAcentral is "partial 16S ribosomal RNA". It matches the Rfam family "Bacterial small subunit ribosomal RNA", at positions 338 to 795 of the family's 1533-position model. The record is from RNAcentral.
CCUACGGGCGGCAGCAGUGGGGAAUAUUGGGCAAUGGGCGCAAGCCUGACCCAGCAACGCCGCGUGAAUGAAGAAGGCUUUCGGGUUGUAAACUUCUUUUGUUAGGGAAGAGUAGAAGAAGGUACCUGACGAAUAAGCUACGGCUAACUACGUGCCAGCGGCCGGGGUAAUACGUUGGUGGCAAGCGUUGUCCGGAUUUAGUGGGUGUAAAGGGCGUGUAGCCGGGUUGAUAAGUCAGAUGUGAAAUCCUGCGGCUUAACCGGAGAAUUGCAUUUGAAACUGUUGAUCUUGAGUACUGUAGAGGCAGACGGAAUUCCUAGUGUAGCGGUGAAAUGCGUAGAUAUUAGGAGGAACACCAGUGGCGAAGGCAGUCUGCUGGACAGCAACUGACGGUGAGGCGCGAAAGCGUGGGGAGCAAACAGGAUUAGAUACCCGUGUAGUC